Long non-coding RNA from Columba livia (rock pigeon), 4681 nucleotides. RefSeq lists it as uncharacterized. The record is from RefSeq and is a predicted model, not a curated record. Lineage: Eukaryota; Metazoa; Chordata; Aves; Columbiformes; Columbidae. The transcript has 2 exons.
GGGGGCUGGGGGGGCCGGGCCGGGCUGUCGGCCCGCCGCCACUGCCGCCGAGGUCCCGCCCGCCGGCUGAGAGGGGAAGGCAGGAGAGACCCGGCGGCUGCACCCGGCCCGCGGAACUCACCGGCCGUCCCCUCCAGGGACUGAUUUCCUGGACUGAUCAGCACGUGAGAAGCAACCAAGCGCAUUCUCUGUGAGCUCUGGUAUUUUUUAAGAUAUGCUUGCUGAAACACCCUGCUGGCUGCUAAGCUCUACUUUCUAGAAAAAACGGGAUUAUUUCCCGAAAAAAAGCGCAUUUCGUGUAUGUAACAGGCUAGUUUCUGCAGGAGAUGCUUAUCCUGCUGAGCCUCUCUUACAUUUUCCCUGUAACAGAGAAAGUGCUCGUUCAUGUUUUUGUUACAGCUCAGCAUUUCUAAGCUUUGUACCCUCACAGAGAUAAGAUGCUACAUUUGUACAUUAAAAGGAAGAGAUCUCCAUCAAAGCUACGAAUGGUUUUAGUUUGUUUGGUUUGGUUUUUUUUCUCCUUGUGAAUACCCUUGCAAUAAAGAAUUCGAACGUGUUUUCCUCUCUAAUAAACGUCCUAAAUUGCCAAAAAGGGAGAGGUCAUAGUCAGAAUGUUGGAUUUUGAUUAUUAGUAAAUCAAGAGUAGAAAGGAUGGGGAGAAAUACCCGGCGUGUUAUCAGUCUUGAAAGGAGAGAGAAAGAAAGAAAGAAAGAGGGAGAAAGAUAAAGAAAAAAGAUAAAGCUCCUUGUAGCAAACAAGAAUUUAUUCUACCAAAAAUAUUUAUGACAACGCAUCCUAAUGCAAUACAAAAAUAAAAAGAAAGUGAAGAUACAAUUCCUAUAUGAUCACUUUCUUACAGACCUCAUAUAUUGCUUUUAUAGAAGGACCUAGAAUGUGGCUAGGUUAAAAUUGAACACAACUAAAACUUUGUAAGAAACGGCAAAUGGCACAGCUGAGGGAGGUAAUAAACAGAAAAUACUGACCCGAAAAAGGGAGGGGGGUAAAAAAUCACGGGAAAAAUUAAGAAGAACAAGGAAGAGAAAGCAGAAGCCUUGGAGGGGCCGUCUUUAAUUUCUCAGUAAUUCAGAUGCUGCAAGUCAAUUGUGGUGAGUGUGUCUGUAAAAAAGUCAAAACUGUCAGCAGAAAUAUCUACGGGACUGUCCAGAGAUCCUGGCAAACUGGGGGAAACUGCAUCUGAAAGCUGUAGACAGGAAUCUGUGGAGAAAACGUUAAAGUCCUGUAAAGAAGGGACAUUUAGGGCCUCAGGACUGUCAUUGUUCAGGCCAGCUGCACAGUUCUGGGCCAUUGUUGAGAGGCAGUUUUGAACAGUGGGUGACUGAUGUUGAAAAUGUUUCAGAUUUUUCUCAUUGCUCGUUAAAGGCGAAACGGGGAAAGUUUGGGACUCGCCAUUGUGCGCAUUCUGUGCCUGCUGCUGGGAGAGGGCAUUCUGCUGGAAAGUGUAGCCUUCCCGCUCCAAGAGAGCGCCGGAGACGUUGCUGAGGGCUUGCUCGAAGAGGGAAUUCUCCUCCUCCUCCUCCUCCGCCGCUUUCUCGGGGUCCUCGAGGUGCUUAAAUUUCCCGUCGCUGUUUUGGUUCUCCUUGCACUGGGUCUGUCUCUUAUGCUUCAUCCUCCUGUUCUGGAACCAGACUUUGACUUGUCUCUCAGUUAGGUCCAGCAAGGCUGCAAUCUCAACCCUCCUUGGUCUACAGAGAUACUUGUUGAAAUGAAAUUCUUUCUCUAGCUCCAAAAGCUGGGUGUUGGUGUAAGCCGUCCUCAGCCGCCUAGAUCCACCGCUACCACUAUCGGGGAUUUCAAGGGGGUCUGUUAAAAAAGAAAAAAAGAAAAAGAAAAAAACCACCACCACACGCACACACACCCCAAAGCACCACCGCCAGAACAGCGAAAAGAAAAACACACGCACGCACACACAAAAUAGAUAAAUGCACGGAUUGAAUUUCAGCACCCGAGCACAUCGCAUCCCGGGGGGAUGGAGUGCUCUCUCUGCACGUACGUGUCUAUAUCUAUAUGUCCAUAUAGCAUAAAGUAGCAACUGCAACAAAAUGGCCGCCUUUGGAUGCAGUAAACCCAUUGUGUUGCACUGCUGAGCGCCCGGUGCUGUGUGCCCCUUGGCCACCUCCGCAAAAUUACUGCCUGCAGCUCCCCAACCUCCCCACACCAGAGCAAACUUUAUAUUAGCCAUACCGCAAUUUAUAAUUAAUGCAUCAGCUGCUUAGCUGAGCGGGAGCAAUCUAUCACUCUUCAUUACUGUCAAAUAUCCUAACUCUAGGACGGCGAGACAAGAGAGGUCAGCUCCAACUCAAAUAAAUCAUCCCGCAUUAAGCAAGUUUGGGGAAAGUUUGGGUUUCCAGAGAGCCCGGCCAGCUCCGUCCUUCCCGCCCGCCCGCCCCUUCGCCUCGUCCCCCCGCGAAGCCGGGGGGAUGCGGGGAGCCAAAAAAGCGGCCCGGCGGGGCCGGCGGCAAGUCUUUGGACUGACCUUUGUGGCUGAGGCAGGCAGGUCCAGCGGCUGAGGCGGAGGCCGAGGCGGGCGGUAGCGCGGAUCGCUUGGACGCCUUUUUCUCUUUCAUCCAGGGGUACUCCGGGGGCGGCGGGGCUCCGGCGGGGGCCGGGCUGCCGCUGCGGCCGCGGGGGCUCGCCUUGGGGCGACCGCCGCCGCUGUGGCGAGGGUGGCUGCCGGGGUUCAGGCUGGGGAUGGUCUGCUCGAAAGGAGGAGGAAUCAGUGUCGAGUGUGAAAGCGUCGAGUUCUUGAUUGAUGAACUUUGAAAUGUAUCACCGACAGGGGGAAAAGAUGUCAGGCACUCAGCAAGCGAUGGCUGGCUAUUGAUAAAACCGAUCUCUCGCUCAAAUGCGAAAUUCAUGGCCUUCAACUGGCAGCCCCCGCGGAGAAAAAGUUCCCUCGGAUUCAGGGGGCUCGGGGGGGGAAGGCCCAGGAAAAAGGAGAGAGAGCAGAAAAAAAUAUAGCAUAGAAGAUCGCUGGUGGGGUGUUUUUUUUCUAAUUCACUGAUUACAGCCGUAUGGGGACCGUGCUACUAUUAAACUAUUGAAUUCAUGGAGACAAGGUUGAAAUUGGACCGAAUUGGCUGUCACAUGAUUGCCUCUGCCCAAUGACAAUUUGGGCUUUAAUCAAAAGAAGCCACUGUCUGUUUGAUUGAUCCAAAAAAGUCGGGAAGGAACGCCUCAUUGGGGGCCAGAAAGGCUUUAUUUACACUUUUUUUUAAAGAGGGAAAUGAUAUCUCCGGUAUCUAUCCCCUUGGCGUCCUAAUCUGAAAUGAUUGGGAGUGGAGGGGAGGGUGCGUGUGCGUGGAUUUGUUUGUGUGAGAGGCUGAGAGUGUGUGUGUGUGUGCGAGCGCGUGUGAGUGUGUGUGUGUGGCUGCUUGUCCUGCAGCCUGCUGCCUCCCUCGCCUCCACCCGCACACUCUUCUCUCAUUGUUUGGGACUGUCAGGAAAACGCUUUGCACCUCACAAAUCAUUUAAGCACCUCAAUCUGACGCCUUGAGUCAUUAACAAAGUAAUCCAUUAAUCUUCAAAGUUUUGACACCGGCAGGCCCCCGCAUAAGAAGUUGCAUCCAGGCAGGAGUCUGAAGCAGAGGGUCUCGAUUUUUUCCUAGGGAAUAGCACUUCCUCCAAAACUAGUUUCUCGUUCCCGAAUCAGCCUCGAUGAGCUGCUUUUGCUUUCGUGGUGGUUUGUUUCAUUUUUUCUUUAUUUUUUUCCUUUUUUUCUUUCAUUUUGUCUUUUUUUUUCCUUUCUUUUUUUUGGGUGUCCUUUUUUGUUUGUUUCUCUCUCUUUUUUUUUUGGUUUUUUUUUUUUUUUUUUUUUUUUUUGUGACUGUCGGGUGUACAGUACGGAGAACAACUGGCCGCCGGUGCCGAGCCAUUGUUUAACAGGAUCUUCCUCAGCAACCUUGCUUCUAGGGGAAGAGUCACAUAUACAGCAGCCCUUGUGCUUCAUGACUUCCCUCUCCAGUUGGCUUCCCGGGAUUGGACCGUAAAACAUAACCCUAGGAGUACCUCUCUGGGCGAGCCAAAUCGGGAGGCUGCAAAUGCGUCUGGCUGUUGCCUCUUUAAAAAAAAAAAAAAAAUCCUGUGCCUUAGCUUGCAAACGAUACUCCCGUCUGCUGGCAUAAUUUGCUUAAUAACCGUAGUAGGCUGGGUCUGGUGAGUAUUUUCGAUUACCAGGAAAUAUAUGGGCUGGUAGCGGGUUUGUUUUCACGGGGCCAGGCAGAGCGAAAAUGCUGGGGGUUGUGACUUGAGAAACGGCACUCGCCUCCGAUGCUUGGGUCUCGCCGCCGCCGUGUCCAGUCGCCCCUGCUAGGUGGAGGCAAGUCCCGAAUUUUGAUGCUCUGGGUACAAUUUUCCAACCAGACCGAGGCGAGCGGGAGAGUGAUGACAAUGAUGGCCACAAUCACCAGCCUGAUGAGUCCUAUGGUCACAGCCGCCCCGGGCAGCCCGGACUGGGUUUGCCUUCCCGCGGAACUCGGGGUGCCCGGCGGGGUGGGGUGCGCCGGGGGGCCGGGGGAGAAGGCGCUUUCCUGCCGCUUUCCGCGUCCUCGAGGAGCCAGGGACCAUCGUCAGCGAGAUGCGGUGCCGCCUCGCUUUAUUUUCGGAGUUGCCAAAAAGAGGUUGGCAAGCGUUUUCGUAAUUAAAAAAAAAAAAAAAAAAAAAA